UAUUGGACAAUGGGCGAAAGCCUGAUCCAGCAAUGCCGCGUGAGUGAUGAAGGCCUUAGGGUUGUAAAGCUCUUUUACCCGGGAUGAUAAUGACAGUACCGGGAGAAUAAGCUCCGGCUAACUCCGUGCCAGCAGCCGCGGUAAUACGGAGGGAGCUAGCGUUGUUCAGAAUUACUGGGCGUAAAGCGCACGUAGGCGGCUUUGUAAGUUAGAGGUAAAGCCUGGGGCUCAACUCCAGAUUGCCUUUAUCUGCAUCGCUUAAUCCAGGGGGGGUGGGUGAAUUCCAGUGAGGGGUAAAUUCGAGUUUCGGAGACACCAGUGCGAGCGCUACUGGCUGUUCAGCGUGAGCAAAUCAAUCUU
RNAcentral lists this ribosomal RNA (360 nucleotides) under uncultured bacterium. RNAcentral describes it as "bacterial SSU rRNA". It matches the Rfam family "Bacterial small subunit ribosomal RNA", at positions 362 to 753 of the family's 1533-position model. The record is from RNAcentral.